UGACACAUGUUCAACGGCCGCGGUACCCUGACCGUGCAAAGGUAGCAUAAUCACUUGUUCUCUAAAUAAGGACUUGUAUGAACGGCCACACGAGGGUUUAACUGUCUCUUACUUUUAAUCAGUGAAAUUGACCUAUCCGUGAAGAGGCGGAUAUAUUUAAAUAAGACGAGAAGACCCUAUGGAGCUUUAAUUUAAUAGUACAAACUAGUAGCUUAAAAACCCACAGGCAUUAAAUUACAGUUCAUGUACUAUAAAUUUCGGUUGGGGUGACCUCGGAGCAUAAUACAACCCCCGAGAAGUAUACACCAAGACCUUACUAGUCUAAGUGAACCUAUAUUCAUUGACCCAAUAAAUUGAUCAACGGACCAAGUUACCCUAGGGAUAACAGCGCAAUCCUAUUACAGAGUCCAUAUCGACAAUAGGGUUUACGACCUCGAUGUUGGAUCAAGACAUCCUAGUGGUGCAGCCGCUACUAAAGGU
RNAcentral lists this ribosomal RNA (480 nucleotides) under Plecturocebus moloch (red-bellied titi). Its description in RNAcentral is "partial large subunit ribosomal RNA". It matches the Rfam family "Bacterial large subunit ribosomal RNA", at positions 1914 to 2572 of the family's 2925-position model. The record is from RNAcentral. Lineage: Eukaryota; Metazoa; Chordata; Mammalia; Primates; Pitheciidae.